GAUGAACGCUGACAGAAUGCUUAACACAUGCAAGUCUACUUGAUCCUUCGGGUGAUGGUGGCGGACGGGUGAGUAACGCGUAAAGAACUUGCCCUGCAGUCUGGGACAACAUUUGGAAACGAAUGCUAAUACCGGAUAUUAUGUGAGUUUCGCAUGAAAUUCAUAUGAAAGCUAUAUGCGCUGCAGGAGAGCUUUGCGUCCUAUUAGCUAGUUGGUGAGGUAACGGCUCACCAAGGCGAUGAUAGGUAGCCGGCCUGAGAGGGUGAACGGCCACAAGGGGACUGAGACACGGCCCUUACUCCUACGGGAGGCAGCAGUGGGGAAUAUUGGACAAUGGACCAAAAGUCUGAUCCAGCAAUUCUGUGUGCACGAUGAAGUUUUUCGGAAUGUAAAGUGCUUUCAGUUGGGAAGAAGUCAGUGACGGUACCAACAGAAGAAGCGACGGCUAAAUACGUGCCAGCAGCCGCGGUAAUACGUAUGUCGCAAGCGUUAUCCGGAUUUAUUGGGCGUAAAGCGCGUCUAGGCGGUUUAGUAAGUCUGAUGUGAAAAUGCGGGGCUCAACCCCGUAUUGCGUUGGAAACUGCUAAACUAGAGUACUGGAGAGGUAGGCGGAACUACAAGUGUAGAGGUGAAAUUCGUAGAUAUUUGUAGGAAUGCCGAUGGGGAAGCCAGCCUACUGGACAGAUACUGACGCUAAAGCGCGAAAGCGUGGGUAGCAAACAGG
Molecule: ribosomal RNA, 724 nt
Filed under: uncultured bacterium
Lineage: Bacteria
Description: bacterial SSU rRNA
Rfam family: Bacterial small subunit ribosomal RNA
Source: RNAcentral